Molecule: long non-coding RNA, 632 nt
Organism: Photinus pyralis (common eastern firefly)
Lineage: Eukaryota; Metazoa; Arthropoda; Insecta; Coleoptera; Lampyridae
Exons: 3
Source: RefSeq, a predicted model, not a curated record
UUGACUACAGUUUUUACCACCCCCGUCACUGCUUCGUUCACGGAUAAAAAUGGUUAGUUACAAACAACAAGUCAGUACCUACAUACAUCAAACGAAUCGGGACAAGACCAAGUAAUCAACAUCAAUAAACAUAAAUUAAGCAAGCAUUACACCAAAAAUGUGAACAAUUAUAAACAAAAAGAUGACGGUAUUAAACAUAUGCCAUUCUGCAUUGCGGUUAAACCAAGCAAAUCUCAAAAACAAAAAUUGAAAUACAAAAAAUAUAAAAUGUGGCAUACAAAACACAAAUACGAUAUAAACAAAUGCAAAAAUUACUACCUGCAUUAAAUAACACAAAAUAACAACAAAUAUUUAUGGAGCGAUGCGUUCACGACCGGCAUUCAAGACAAGAGGCCAAACCUGGGCCAAACCCCCGUUCGUGCUUUUCUAGAUGGCACAGGCUGCUUUUUCCCACCUAAAAAUUGCAUGCCCGCGUAUAAGCAAUAUCACGCUGAUAAUCUACUUCCAAGUAACCACAUAAGUUAAUACUUCCCGGAACCGAAAGUCCCUUACUAGAAACCGCAACGGUUAUUCAAGAAAUGAAUUGUCUUUAUCCUUUUUACCGGUAGCGGUUUACUUUGGUUAAUAAACUU